Long non-coding RNA from Mastomys coucha (southern multimammate mouse), 348 nucleotides. RefSeq lists it as uncharacterized. The transcript has 2 exons. The record is from RefSeq and is a predicted model, not a curated record. NCBI's taxonomy places the organism in Eukaryota, Metazoa, Chordata, Mammalia, Rodentia, Muridae.
CUUUAGCGUUGGAGGGAGGAUGCGUGUGGAGCACCCCUGGUCAAGAAACUGUGGGCAAUUGAUGGCUGCUGGGGGAGGAGAGGCCAUUUUUCUUUAGCCAGGUACCUACUGACAGCAGCUCCGCUCCACCUGGGGCCUGGAAGCCGGCAGAUGCAGCUCCUCUCCUGGGCAUACAGUGAUGGAAACCCCUCCUCGCUCCGACGCCCCCAGCCUUUAAAUCAGCCAUGAUUCCGGCCUGACACCGAGUUACGGCACGUUUACAGAGCCUCUGUAGGGCUCUCUAAAUUUUGUGGCCAUGGCUCAUUCUCACCCAGCAAUCCAAAUAAAAAUAGCGCUAUUGAUCACGAA